This 240-nucleotide unclassified non-coding RNA is filed under the name soil metagenome. RNAcentral describes it as "partial contains 5.8S ribosomal RNA, internal transcribed spacer 2, and large subunit ribosomal RNA". The record is from RNAcentral.
AACCUUAUGGACCUGCGGGCGUAUACCUGCGGAAGGAUCAUUAUCGAGUUUUGAAAUAUGGGGUUGAAGCUGGCCUUACGAGGCAUGUGCUCGCCCCUGCUCAUCCACUCUACACCUGUGCACUUACUGUAGGCUUCAGGAGCUUCUCGGGCUUUCAUUAGCUCGGGUUGUAACUGAGCUUACGUUUACUACAAACAUCAUACAGUAUCAGAAUGUGUAUUGCGAUAAACGCAUCUAUAU